Molecule: unclassified non-coding RNA, 1078 nt
Filed under: leaf metagenome
Description: partial contains internal transcribed spacer 1, 5.8S ribosomal RNA, internal transcribed spacer 2, and large subunit ribosomal RNA
Rfam family: Eukaryotic large subunit ribosomal RNA (bases 492-1078)
Source: RNAcentral
GAUCAUUACACAAAUAUGAAGGCGGGCUGGAACCUCUCGGGGUUACAGCCUUGCUGAAUUAUUCACCCUUGUCUUUUGCGUACUUCUUGUUUCCUUGGUGGGUUCGCCCACCACUAGGACAAACAUAAACCUUUUGUAAUUGCAAUCAGCGUCAGUAACAAAUUAAUAAUUACAACUUUCAACAACGGAUCUCUUGGUUCUGGCAUCGAUGAAGAACGCAGCGAAAUGCGAUAAGUAGUGUGAAUUGCAGAAUUCAGUGAAUCAUCGAAUCUUUGAACGCACAUUGCGCCCUUUGGUAUUCCAAAGGGCAUGCCUGUUCGAGCGUCAUUUGUACCCUCAAGCUUUGCUUGGUGUUGGGCGUCUUGUCUCUAGCUUUGCUGGAGACUCGCCUUAAAGUAAUUGGCAGCCGGCCUACUGGUUUCGGAGCGCAGCACAAGUCGCACUCUCUAUCAGCAAAGGUCUAGCAUCCAUUAAGCCUUUUUUUCAACUUUUGACCUCGGAUCAGGUAGGGAUACCCGCUGAACUUAAGCAUAUCAAUAAGCGGAGGAAAAGAAACCAACAGGGAUUGCCCUAGUAACGGCGAGUGAAGCGGCAACAGCUCAAAUUUGAAAUCUGGCUCUUUUAGAGUCCGAGUUGUAAUUUGCAGAGGGCGCUUUGGCUUUGGCAGCGGUCCAAGUUCCUUGGAACAGGACGUCACAGAGGGUGAGAAUCCCGUACGUGGUCGCUGGCUAUUGCCGUGUAAAGCCCCUUCGACGAGUCGAGUUGUUUGGGAAUGCAGCUCUAAAUGGGAGGUACAUUUCUUCUAAAGCUAAAUAUUGGCCAGAGACCGAUAGCGCACAAGUAGAGUGAUCGAAAGAUGAAAAGCACUUUGGAAAGAGAGUCAAACAGCACGUGAAAUUGUUGAAAGGGAAGCGCUUGCAGCCAGACUUGCUUACAGUUGCUCAUCCGGGUUUCUACCCGGUGCACUCUUCUGUAGGCAGGCCAGCAUCAGUUUGGGCGGUAGGAUAAAGGUCUCUGUCACGUACCUCCUUUCGGGGAGGCCUUAUAGGGGAGACGACAUACUACCAGCCUGGACUGA